Molecule: transfer RNA, 74 nt
Filed under: Podarcis lilfordi (Lilford's wall lizard)
Lineage: Eukaryota; Metazoa; Chordata; Lepidosauria; Squamata; Lacertidae
Description: tRNA.Ile
Rfam family: tRNA (bases 8-66)
About the family: Transfer RNA (tRNA) molecules are approximately 80 nucleotides in length. Their secondary structure includes four short double-helical elements and three loops (D, anti-codon, and T loops).
Source: RNAcentral
GCCUGGAUAGCUCAGUUGGUUAGAGCAUGGUGUUGAUAAUGCCAGGGUUGCAGGUUCGAUCCCUGUAUGGGACA